Molecule: transfer RNA, 60 nt
Filed under: Riccardoella reaumuri
Lineage: Eukaryota; Metazoa; Arthropoda; Arachnida; Trombidiformes; Ereynetidae
Description: tRNA-Leu
Source: RNAcentral
AUUUUGUGAGCGGGUUUAUCGCAUUAAAUUUAGAAUUUAAAAUUACUUAUAGUACAAAAU